AGAAAGUUAGUCUAAUCAAGAUA
Molecule: transfer RNA, 23 nt
Filed under: Pampusana beccarii (Western bronze ground-dove)
Lineage: Eukaryota; Metazoa; Chordata; Aves; Columbiformes; Columbidae
Also listed under: 1 other name
Description: partial tRNA-Arg
Source: RNAcentral